CCAAUAGCGUAUAUUAAAGUUGUUGCAGUUAGAAAGCUCGUAGUUGGAUUUCUGAUCGAGACAUCAGGUCGGGUCCGAGAGGAUCAUGUACUUUGAUUUUGUUUUGAUCAUCCUUGGGGAGAGCAUUUCUGGCAUUCAGUUGUCGGGAUUGGGAUCCUCAUCGUUUACUGUGAAAAAAUUAGAGUGUUCAAAGCAGGCCUCGGCCUCUGAAUACAUUAGCAUGGAAUAAUAAGAUAGGACUUUGGUGGUCUAUUUUGUUGGUUUGCACGCCAAAGUAAUGAUUAAUAGGGAUAGUUGGGGGUAUUCGUAUUCAAUUGUCAGAGGUGAAAUUCUUGGAUUUAUGGAAGACGAACUACUGCGAAAGCAUUUACCAAGGAUGUUUUCAUUAA
Molecule: ribosomal RNA, 389 nt
Filed under: uncultured eukaryote
Lineage: Eukaryota
Description: partial 18S ribosomal RNA
Rfam family: Eukaryotic small subunit ribosomal RNA
Source: RNAcentral